RNAcentral lists this transfer RNA (73 nucleotides) under Camelus bactrianus (Bactrian camel). It matches the Rfam family "tRNA". From Rfam's summary of the family: Transfer RNA (tRNA) molecules are approximately 80 nucleotides in length. Their secondary structure includes four short double-helical elements and three loops (D, anti-codon, and T loops). Further hydrogen bonds mediate the characteristic L-shaped molecular structure. tRNAs have two regions of fundamental functional importance: the anti-codon, which is responsible for specific mRNA codon recognition, and the 3' end, to which the tRNAs corresponding amino acid is attached (by aminoacyl-tRNA synthetases). tRNAs cope with the degeneracy of the genetic code in two manners: having more than one tRNA (with a specific anti-codon) for a particular amino acid; and 'wobble' base-pairing, i.e. permitting non-standard base-pairing at the 3rd anti-codon position. RNAcentral also lists the same sequence under 2 other names. The record is from Rfam by way of RNAcentral. Lineage: Eukaryota; Metazoa; Chordata; Mammalia; Artiodactyla; Camelidae.
GUGGGUACAGCUCAGUGAUAGAGCACUGUGCUUAGCGUGCACAAGGUCCUGGGUUCAAUUCCCAGUACCUCCA